UACAGAGGUCUCAAGCGUUGUUCGGAUUCAUUGGGCGCAAAGGGUGCGUAGGUGGCGCCGUAAGUCGGGUGUGAAAUUUCGGAGCUUAACUCCGAAACUGCAUUCGAUACUGCGGUGCUUGAGGACUGGAGAGGAGACUGGAAUUCAUGGUGUAGCAGUGAAAUGCGUAGAGAUCAUGAGGAAGACCAGUGGCGAAGGCGGGUCUCUGGACAGUUCCUGACACUGAGGCACGAAGGCCAGGGGAGCAAACGGG
RNAcentral lists this ribosomal RNA (253 nucleotides) under uncultured bacterium. Its description in RNAcentral is "partial 16S ribosomal RNA". It matches the Rfam family "Bacterial small subunit ribosomal RNA", at positions 524 to 776 of the family's 1533-position model. The record is from RNAcentral.